This 496-nucleotide ribosomal RNA is filed under the name uncultured bacterium. RNAcentral's name for it is "partial 16S ribosomal RNA". It matches the Rfam family "Bacterial small subunit ribosomal RNA", at positions 29 to 507 of the family's 1533-position model. The record is from RNAcentral.
AUGAACGCUGGCGGCGUGCCUCAUACAUGCAAGUCGAGCGAACGGACGAGAAGCUUGCUUCUCUGAUGUUAGCGGCGGACGGGUGAGUAACACGUGGAUAACCUACCUAUAAGACUGGGAUAACUUCGGGAAACCGGAGCUAAUACCGGAUAAUAUUUUGAACCGCAUGGUUCAAAAGUAAAAGACGGUCUUGCUGUCACUUAUAGAUGGAUCCGCGCUGCAUUAGCUAGUUGGUAAGGUAACGGCUUACCAAGGCAACGAUGCAUAGCCGACCUGAGAGGGUGAUCGGCCACACUGGAACUGAGACACGGUCCAGACUACUACGGGAGGCAGCAGUAGGGAAUCUUCCGCAAUGGGCGAAAGCCUGACGGAGCAACGCCGCGUGAGUGAUGAAGGUCUUCGGAUCGUAAAACUCUGUUAUUAGGGAAGAACAUAUGUGUAAGUAACUGUGCACAUCUUGACGGUACCUAAUCAGAAAGCCACGGCUAACUACGUG